GGAGUGGCUGUGGCUCAGUGGAAGAGUUUAUGCUUUGAACGCCAAAGGUCCCAGGUUCAAUCUCUGGUAUCUCCA
Molecule: transfer RNA, 75 nt
Filed under: Sphaerodactylus townsendi
Lineage: Eukaryota; Metazoa; Chordata; Lepidosauria; Squamata; Sphaerodactylidae
Description: tRNA-Ser
Source: RNAcentral